UCAUAUGCUUGUCCCAAAGCUUAAGCCAUGCAUGUCUCCGAUUUAGUUGCUUGAUCUCGAAUCUGCGAACGGCUCCGUAUAUCUGUUAUCACCCACCGCCCUCUAACACAGGCGGAUAUCCACGGUAAUUCUGUGGCUAAUACGUGUGUCCAACCCGGGGAAGCUGCUGGGCCCAGAAGCCCGGCGGCAUCCCCGGCAUUGCCAUGGAACCAACGGCAGCCCCUCGGGGCAGCCCGCGCGACCGCCGGCAAUUUAACCUGACCGCCUAAGGUACGUAGGCGGCGCAGGCGAUGGAUACCAGACCUAUCAACUAGAUGCCCAAUUCUGGCCUGGGCAUGGUGAUAACGGGUACAGAGGAUCAGGGUUCGGUCCUGGAGAGGAAGCCUAAGAGAUCGCUUCUACUUCUAAGGAAGGCAGCAGGCGCGCAACGUUCCCAAUGGGGAUACCCUGAGGACGUGAAGGGACAUAUUAAUGCCUGGCCCAUAAAGCCGGGCAAUUGAAAUGGGGGACCGCCAAACCCCACACCGAGUAACAAUUGGAG
RNAcentral lists this ribosomal RNA (541 nucleotides) under Trichia subfusca. Its description in RNAcentral is "SSU rRNA". It matches the Rfam family "Eukaryotic small subunit ribosomal RNA", at positions 24 to 553 of the family's 1831-position model. Lineage: Eukaryota; Evosea; Eumycetozoa; Trichiida; Trichiidae. The record is from RNAcentral.